This 58-nucleotide microRNA precursor is filed under the name Echinococcus multilocularis. Its description in RNAcentral is "microRNA emu-mir-10293 precursor". The record is from miRBase by way of RNAcentral. Lineage: Eukaryota; Metazoa; Platyhelminthes; Cestoda; Cyclophyllidea; Taeniidae.
GGACUCGUUUACUCGAAUUGGUCUGCGUGGGGCACUAAUUCGAGUCAACAGGGUCGUU